UCCUGGGUUUGGCUUGGCCCUGCUUUGUGUUGGGCCCUGCUUUGUGCUGGGCCCUGCUUUGUCCUUGGCCCUGCUUUGUCCCCUGGGCCCUGCUUUGUGCUGGGCCCUGCUUUGUCCCAGGCCCUGCUUUGUGCUGGGCCCUGCUUUGUCUCCUGGGCCCUGCUUUGUGCUGGGCCCUGCUUUGUCCUUGGCCCUGCUUUGUGCUUGGCCCUGCUUUGUCCCAGGCCCUGCUUUGUCCCAGGCCCUGCUUUGUCUCCUUGGCCCUGCUUUGUGCCAGGCCCUGCUUUGUGCCAGGCCCUGCUUUGUGCCGGGCCCUGCUUUGUCCUUGGCCCUGCUUUGUGCUGGGCCCUGCUUUGUGCUGGGCCCUGCUUUGUCUCCUUGGCCCUGCUUUGUGCUGGGCCCUGCUUUGUGCUGGGCCCUGCUUUGUGCUGGGCCCUGCUUUGUGCUGGGCCGUGCUUUGUGCUGGGCCCUGCUUUGUGCUGGGCCCUGCUUUGUCUCCUUGGCCCUGCUUUGUCUCCUUGGCCCUGCUUUGUCCUUGGCCCUGCUUUGUCCUUGGCCCUGCUUUGUUCUUGGCCCUGCUUUGUCCUUGGCCCUGCUUUGUCUCCUGGGCCCUGCUUUGUCUCCUUGGCCCUGCUUUGUGCUGGGCCCUGCUUUGUCCCAGGCCCUGCUUUGUCCUUGGCCCUGCUUUGUGCUGGGCCCUGCUUUGUCUCCUGGGCCCUGCUUUGUGCUGGGCCCUGCUUUGUGCUUGGCCCUGCUUUGUGCUUGGUCCUGCUUUGUGCUGGGCCCUGCUUUGUGCUUGGCCCUGCUUUGUNCUCUCUGUCUCUGCUGCCUUCCUCCAUCAUCCUCCUCUUCCUCUGGGGCUGUGUCCCUGCUGUGUCCCUGGUGUGUCCCCUGCUUUGUGCUGCUCUGCUCCUUGGAGCUCCAGCCCAGGGCCCUGUUUGCCAGCAGAGGUCUCAGGCUUUGCUGAGCUCCUCCUGCUCCCCAGGGAUAAAUCUCAGCUUUGCUGAGCUCCUCCUGGAUAAAUCUCAGCUUUGCUGA
RNAcentral lists this long non-coding RNA (1038 nucleotides) under Zonotrichia albicollis (white-throated sparrow). RNAcentral describes it as "lncRNA (ENSZALG00000000520.1)". The record is from RNAcentral. Lineage: Eukaryota; Metazoa; Chordata; Aves; Passeriformes; Passerellidae.